This 208-nucleotide long non-coding RNA is filed under the name Gossypium raimondii (Peruvian cotton). RNAcentral's name for it is "long non-coding RNA (GRAI_LNC002794)". The record is from RNAcentral. Lineage: Eukaryota; Viridiplantae; Streptophyta; Magnoliopsida; Malvales; Malvaceae.
UGCAAAAAUUAUGGUGUUCAGAGAUGUUGUUUCUUCAGCUAGUUUGAUUCUCCGAUGAGUCUUCCCUCAAGAGUUGUUAUAGUUGGUUUGUUAAGGAAAAUCAAGACAUUAGAUAGGGAAAGAAGGAAAGAAUGGAUUAUAUGGAUUGUUAGUUUGGUUUGUUGUAUGUUUUGUGUUUGGAUAAAGAAGUGGAGCAGUGAGAUGAUAU